Molecule: long non-coding RNA, 1310 nt
Organism: Mauremys reevesii (Reeves's turtle)
Lineage: Eukaryota; Metazoa; Chordata; Testudines; Geoemydidae
Exons: 5
Source: RefSeq, a predicted model, not a curated record
AAUGAAGGAAGAAAGGUGGAUUGAAGCCCUUCAACACAACUGAAAGGAUCCCUAUGGGAUCAAGGCAGCAACAGUUUUUGAAAUCUCAACAUUUUUGGCAGGACAGGAAAACCACUUCCCAAUGUGUCAGCCAGCAACUGCCCCAGCUCCUGGAGUCGAGUGAUAUGUAAUGAUUUCAGCUUUCAUUCUUAGAGAAAAACUACUUCCUGGUUCAGGACCUUUCCCUGGCCAGGGAAAAAGGGAAAUGCAGUGCGGAGGAGACAGAUGGGAGUGGUAGUGUCCUGCUUUGCAGAUCCACCAUGGAGCUAACGAGAAAGGCUCAAAAGCCAGGAAAUUCCAAAACGAAGGAAAGACAUGAAAAAGGAUCACUUUACUCACCAACUAAACGCAGCUUCCUCUGGAGUGGAAUACAACCAACAUCUCCCUAAUGGUGUACGAUACAGCAACUCUACACAACAGUUUAAGAUGAAUAUAGUAUCCAGCUGAAACAGUCGUGAGGGAGAGGAAUUCAGAUAGGUGGAAUAGGUCUGAUACUAUAGCCACUCCAUGUGUAGAACUCCCAAUGCAACAACUGCAGGAUCAGACCUAUUCAUCAGAAUUUGCCCAUGACACUGGGGUCAACAUCUCUAUUUUUACAGAAGUUUGAUAUGAUCUUGAAUGUCCACAUGGAGUCAAGGCUAUGGUUCUACAUCUCACCCAAAAGGACAGCAUUCCCUUUUGGUGGAGUUUGCUUCUUGAUAGAUUCAAGAUGGAAAUGUGCCACCUACUGAAUUAUCAACAUCACUUCCUGUAGCACUAAAGAUUUUCUUAAUCUUGCAUCCUAUCUGACCUGGCCCAGUCCUGCUUAAUGUGGGAAAGCUGACAGUACAGAGCCUGCAGAUUCAGACCAAAAAGUCCAGUGACCAACUCUGUGAUCAGGAAUACAGCCAUCAACCUGUCCCUGCACCAGAAUGGAAACAAGCAGAAUGUAGCAUUUUGUUUGGCCUUUUUAACUGCAGGGGACUCCAAAACAAUGAUCAUCUCUUUCUUUUAUUAUUUAAAGCUAUAGCAAAUUGUGAUGAAAAGGUACUGUCCCAGGCACAAAAUCUGUUUGCCCCUCCUUGCCGUGAUGGUUGGUAAUCAGGGCCGGCUCCAGGGUUUUUGCUGCCCCAAGCGGCAAAAAAAAAAAAAAAAAGAAGUCGCGAUCGGCGGCUGCUCCACUGUGCCGCUUUCUUCUUCAAUGGCAAUUCGGCAGCAGGUCCUUCCCUCCGAGAGGGACCGAGGGACCUGCCGCCAAAUUGCUGCCAAACAGCCUGACGUGCCACCCCUUC